AGAGGGCGCGGGCGUCACGGCUCAGGCCCACCAAUGCGAAAGCAGCUCUGGGCGGAGCGGGACAGGGCUGCGGUCCCACCUGAAGAGCUCGGAGAGGCAAGAUUGCAAAAACCUGCUAAAGGAAUACAUGAAGUGACACGAGUGCUUUGAGCGACUUCGCAGUGGCUGUGAUGGCUGAAGGCAGGGAAAGAUCAGGAGGGCCUUUCACAUUAGAAACUAAGAAAAUUUUGAAAGAGAAAGUGAAAUGAUUUGAUCAAACAGGUGACAGACUGUUAGGGAAACUUCUGGAAUCUUAACAAUGAUUUGAACAUGGGUGGAGGCCAAGGUAUAUUUGGUCCAUGGUUUUGACAGCAUUUGUCGGUUUCACCAGAAUCCUAUGACCAUGCUGCUCCAGAUUCCUGCUUUUUAAGAGCUAUCAGCAGAAAUGAGGCUUAAGUAGGUGGUUAUGAUCGUGAGACCCAGUUUCAGAGUCCUCAGUGGAAACCACAAGUUCACCUCAUGC
Molecule: long non-coding RNA, 502 nt
Organism: Chinchilla lanigera (long-tailed chinchilla)
Lineage: Eukaryota; Metazoa; Chordata; Mammalia; Rodentia; Chinchillidae
Exons: 2
Source: RefSeq, a predicted model, not a curated record